Molecule: ribosomal RNA, 402 nt
Filed under: uncultured bacterium
Lineage: Bacteria
Description: bacterial SSU rRNA
Rfam family: Bacterial small subunit ribosomal RNA
Source: RNAcentral
UCGGGAAUUUUGGGCAAUGGGCGAAAGCCUGACCCAGCAACGCCGCGUGAGGGAUGAAGUAUUUCGGUAUGUAAACCUCGAAAGAAUGGGAAGAAUAAAUGACGGUACCAUUUAUAAGCUCCGGCUAACUACGUGCCAGCAGCCGCGGUAAUACGUAGGGGGCGAGCGUUGUCCGGAUUUACUGGGUGUAAAGGGCGCGCAGGCGGGAUAAAAAGUCAGUGGUGAAAUCCUACAGCUUAACUGUAGAACUGCCUUUGAUACUUUUAUUCUUGAGUUCGGGAGAGAGAGACGGAAUUCCAGGUGUAGUGGUGAAAUACGUAGAUAUCUGGAAGAACACCAGUUGCGAAGGCGGUCUCUUGGUCCGACACUGACGCUGAGGCGCGAAAGCGUGGGGAGCAAACA